This is a non-coding RNA of Leptonychotes weddellii (Weddell seal), 602 nucleotides long. NCBI's taxonomy places the organism in Eukaryota, Metazoa, Chordata, Mammalia, Carnivora, Phocidae. The record is from RefSeq and is a predicted model, not a curated record.
AGCCUCUUCCUCCCCUCCUCCCCUGCAGCUAGUCUUGGGAGCGCUGCCGGGACCCCUCACCCAGGUGGAAGGGGGCUCCUGGCCGGGGCGCACACCGAGGAGGGUGGGGGCUGGACCCCACCCCCCAGAUGAUGGGAUGACGGCACCAGCACAGCAGCCUCCUGCCGUGUAGAGCCCGGAUUGAGCAGAGGGAAGACUUCCUGGAGGAAGGAGUGUGAGGACAGGAUGUCAAGAUGGAGCUCCCCUGGGAGUGUCACCGGUAACUAAAGCUGGCUCUGCUGGUGAGAGCAGGAGGAGGUGUCGCUUGGCAACAAGGACAGCACGUAAGAUCCAGCUAAUCUGGGUUUGCCCCAGCAAGCAGCUGCCUGCCUGCUACCCGCAGACCCCCAGAGACAGAUGCUUAACAACUUCUACCUAUUUCCACUUCAGGAAACCUCACGUUCUAGGCGAGUUCCAGCACACCCCAAGGUCUGGGCAGGGAGGACACUUUCUCCCCAUCCUUCCUAUCCUCCCUGUCCCUAUCCCUUUUCUUGAGUCCUAUCUCCCUGUAAAAAAUCUACAGACCUCUCUGGGGAUCCCAGGCUCUGCUGCAAGCCAGGAAA